Magnolia sinica is the source of this 1228-nucleotide long non-coding RNA. RefSeq lists it as uncharacterized. The record is from RefSeq and is a predicted model, not a curated record. The transcript is spliced from 3 exons. Lineage: Eukaryota; Viridiplantae; Streptophyta; Magnoliopsida; Magnoliales; Magnoliaceae.
UAUGGGCUGUUUUUGAAAAAUAAUACAAAUAAGUAAAUGUUUGCUAUGUGUUUCUAUAUGAAGCUAGGCAAGCCUUAGAUCAGAAAGCGAGAAGGGAAACAUGCGUGGAACUCAGCAGAGAACAUUUACCCGUUAAACCAAAAACUAACAAGAAGUUGUUCACUCAUUUGUUAUAUUUAUGCCAAAAAAAAAAGGAGGCAAGGUUCCCCUUUUUUCAGUGCAAAAAGCACAUUAGCUCCCUUGGUACUUUCCGGGUUCUCCUUGUCUUUUCUACAAUGUGUUUAAACAUUAGAUUUUCAUCUUACCUUUCACAUUCCAUCAAACGGCCAUAGUUUUGCUUAAUUCAUGUCUAAGACAUCUAUGACAGAAAUCAGCAUUCUUUUCUUGUAUUUUUCUUUAUUAUGAGGAUACUUAGUUUCCCAGAAUGUGUUUUGGUUGGAUUUGAGUGACGACGCAAAUGAGGCAUUGUCUACUACAUUGCAGUUGAUGAUAAACAAAAACUAUGCCAUGAUGUUGGUGAGCUACAUUAGGCAUCCAUCUCUCACUUGUCAUAUUAAAGGAACGGGCCAAGGAGGGAAUGAUGACUGACUGAUGAUAGCAAGCAUCCCCACGAUGGAGAAUGACCAUAGAAAGAUCUUUCCACACUGAGGAAAGCUCUCUCGACUUGCAUUAGUGUUGAUACAUAUUCAUGCAGGAAGUUGACACUUAGAAUGCCUAAGAUGAGAAGCAACAAUAGCGGGUGAAUGCCAACACUCAAAGAAUCGAAGCAUCUAUGAACAAGCCUAUUGGAUAUCCUUGGUGACUGUCUAUCUUAUGGACAUGUCUUUGUGGAGCUUUCUCUCCUAUGUCCUUUGGGAAGUUGAGUACAUAGUCUAUGAUCCGUAGAUACUUUCAGAGAGCUAACAUAUCCAUAUCAAGUUGAAAGACAAACCAAUGCUACAAACCUUACCACAUGAGUGGCAAUAAAUGCGAGUGGUGAGCUGCUGCUAGUUCACGAGAUUCUUCCGUCGGUUAUAAAUGGAGGGUUAGAGAGCUGAUUGUUUUUCAGGCACCUGACUUGUCAAUGACGUUGAAUUUGUAAUCUUUCUUUUCCAUGGAGUUGAUGUUUACAAAUGUUAAAUUAAGCCAAAUGUGAAUGUAGACCAUGUGUAAUUUGUACAUGGAUCGGAUGAUGUUUAUCUUUCCAUAAACUUCCUUUUUUUCUUCCAAAUCUAUAGAUAUGGACAUA